AACGGAGGAACCCGCCCUCCUCCCGCGCCCAAAGUUGGAGCACUUGACCUUUGGCUGUCAUAGGAGGCAGGCCGGCGGGU
This 80-nucleotide microRNA precursor is filed under the name Mustela putorius furo (domestic ferret). RNAcentral describes it as "miRNA (ENSMPUG00000023625.1)". Lineage: Eukaryota; Metazoa; Chordata; Mammalia; Carnivora; Mustelidae. The record is from RNAcentral.